RNAcentral lists this ribosomal RNA (406 nucleotides) under uncultured bacterium. Its description in RNAcentral is "bacterial SSU rRNA". It matches the Rfam family "Bacterial small subunit ribosomal RNA", at positions 355 to 776 of the family's 1533-position model. The record is from RNAcentral.
UGGGGAAUAUUGGGCAAUGGGCGCAAGCCUGACCCAGCAAUGCCGCGUGAAGGAAGAAGGCUUUCGGGUUGUAAACUUCUUUUAAGAGGGAAGAGCAGAAGACGGUACCUCUUGAAUAAGCCACGGCUAACUACGUGCCAGCAGCCGCGGUAAUACGUAGGUGGCAAGCGUUGUCCGGAUUUACUGGGUGUAAAGGGCGUGCAGCCGGGAGUGCAAGUCAGAUGUGAAAUGCCGAGGCUCAACCUCGGAGCUGCAUUUGAAACUGUACUUCUUGAGUACUGGAGAGGCAGACGGAAUUCCUAGUGUAGCGGUGAAAUGCGUAGAUAUUAGGAGGAACACCAGUGGCGAAGGCGGUCUGCUGGACAGCAACUGACGGUGAGGCGCGAAAGCGUGGGGAGCAAACAGG